RNAcentral lists this transfer RNA (88 nucleotides) under Caudoviricetes sp. Its description in RNAcentral is "tRNA-Ser". It matches the Rfam family "tRNA". Rfam says of the family: Transfer RNA (tRNA) molecules are approximately 80 nucleotides in length. Their secondary structure includes four short double-helical elements and three loops (D, anti-codon, and T loops). Further hydrogen bonds mediate the characteristic L-shaped molecular structure. tRNAs have two regions of fundamental functional importance: the anti-codon, which is responsible for specific mRNA codon recognition, and the 3' end, to which the tRNAs corresponding amino acid is attached (by aminoacyl-tRNA synthetases). tRNAs cope with the degeneracy of the genetic code in two manners: having more than one tRNA (with a specific anti-codon) for a particular amino acid; and 'wobble' base-pairing, i.e. permitting non-standard base-pairing at the 3rd anti-codon position. Lineage: Duplodnaviria; Heunggongvirae; Uroviricota; Caudoviricetes. The record is from RNAcentral.
GGAGGUAUGGGUGAGUGGUCUAUACCAGCACAUUGCUAACGUGCUGAGCUCUGAAAGGGUUCCGCUGGUUCGAAUCCAGCUGCCUCCG